UCAGAAUCCUUAUGAGUAGGCUGCUCUGUAAUUCUGCACGAAAAGAGUCCCAGGCAAGGCCUAGAUUGAACAUGGGUGUCCUGACUCAACUCUUCUACCUUCUUUUGUUCUGGCAUCCAGCUGCCAGCACCAACACCACACUGACCCAGUUUCCGGCUUACCUCUCUGUGUCCCUAAAAGAGAGCAUCUCCAUCAUUUGCAAGGCCAGUCAGAGCGUUAGUGAUUAUGUCACCUGGUAUCAGCAGAAACCAGGCCAGUCUCCUAAGAUUAUCAUCUAUGAUGCUGAUAACCGGUACUCUGGUGUCCCAGACCGGUUCACUGGGAUACAGUCUGGGACGGAAUUUAUUUUCAAAAUCAGCAGUGUGGAGGCUGAAGAUACUGCCAACUAUUACUGCCAGCAGGAUUACUCAUUACCUCCCACGGUGUUGCAGCCCUUAACAGAAACCAUCCUCUUGGCUAGCUGGGUCUGAGGUUAUGGGGUUUUGCAGCUGCACUCUCCCUUAUGGCGUGGUGAGAAGUAUAGGGUCUAUUUUUGGGAGGCAGUUCAUGGGCAAAGACCUGCAAGAGAUUUUAGUCCCUCCAAAGCUUAUUUCUGCAACAGUACAAAAACACACAAAACCUUCAAUUGUGGAAAGGAGCUGUCUAGGUAAAAUCUGAAAAAAGACCUGGUUCAUAGCAAAAAUCUCUGAAUCUUUUGUCUGAGAAGAGGUAUUUUUUAAAAAGAAUUAUUUAUUUUAUCUUAAUUAUUAUUAUUUUAAAAUUUCACCAGAGAAAGAGAGAAAGGGAAAGUGAGAAAGCAAGUUGCCAAACCGUGGUUGACUUGUGGGAAUCUAGUGCUUCAACCAUCACACCGCUUGCUGCCUCCUAGAAAAGGUAUUUUUAAAAAUAGAGAACUAAGUUUUUUUUUUUUUUUAAAAAGGAGCCAAUAUCCAAGAAAAUAACACUGUCAUUUGCUGUUUAGUGAAGUUUUGAAGAUUUUCUGUGUUAAAUAUUGUACUAAGGGCACACAGAAAAUAUAUCCAACAAUCAUCAUCUGUCGCAAAGAAAUCAGUGGUUCUCAGAGUUUAGUUGGUUCAAGGUACCAGUGAUUAUAAGGGAAGAAUAUGGAAACAGAUAAUCUGAUAUUGAUAAUCUGUUUUUUG
Non-coding RNA from Tupaia belangeri chinensis (Chinese tree shrew), 1142 nucleotides. The record is from the annotation of a RefSeq genome assembly. NCBI's taxonomy places the organism in Eukaryota, Metazoa, Chordata, Mammalia, Scandentia, Tupaiidae.